CCUACGGGAGGCAGCAGUGAGGAAUAUUGGUCAAUGGACGCAAGUCUGAACCAGCCAAGUCGCGUGAAGGAUGACUGCCCUAUGAGUUGUAAACUUCUUUUGUACGGGGCUAAACCCAGACACGUGUGUCUUUUUGCAAGUAUUUUAUGAAUAAGGAUCGGCUAACUCCGUGCCAGCAGCCGCGGUAAUACGGAGGAUCCGAGCGUUAUCCGGAUUUAUUGGGUUUAAAGGGUGCGUAGAUGGGUUGUUAAGUCAGUUGUGAAAGUUUGCGGCUCAACCGUAAAAUUGCAUUUGAUACUGUCAGACUUGAGUACAGUUGAGGUAGGCGGAAUUCGUGGUGUAGCGGUGAAAUGCUUAGAUAUCAUGAAGAACCCCGAUUGCGAAGGCAGCUUACUAAACUGUGACUGACAUUGAGGCUCGAAAGCGUGGGUAGCAAACAGGAUUAGAUACCCGAGUAGUC
This 460-nucleotide ribosomal RNA is filed under the name uncultured bacterium. RNAcentral's name for it is "partial 16S ribosomal RNA". It matches the Rfam family "Bacterial small subunit ribosomal RNA", at positions 338 to 795 of the family's 1533-position model. The record is from RNAcentral.